RNAcentral lists this ribosomal RNA (374 nucleotides) under uncultured organism. RNAcentral's name for it is "partial 16S ribosomal RNA". It matches the Rfam family "Bacterial small subunit ribosomal RNA", at positions 527 to 896 of the family's 1533-position model. The record is from RNAcentral.
GUAGGUGGCAAGCGUUGUCCGGAAUUAUUGGGCGUAAAGCGCGCGCGGGCGGUCCUUUAAGUCUGAUGUGAAAGCCCACGGCUCAACCGUGGAGGGUCAUUGGAAACUGGGGGACUUGAGUACAGAAGAGGAAAGCGGAAUUCCAGGUGUAGCGGUGAAAUGCGUAGAGAUUUGGAGGAACACCAGUGGCGAAGGCGGCUUUCUGGUCUGUAACUGACGCUGAGGCGCGAAAGCGUGGGGAGCAAACAGGAUUAGAUACCCUGGUAGUCCACGCCGUAAACGAUGAGUGCUAAGUGUUAGGGGGUUUCCCGCCCCCCUUAGUGCUGCAGCUAACGCAUUAAGCACUCCGCCUGGGGAGUACGGCCGCAAGGCUG